GACGAACGCUGGCGGCGUGCCUAAUACAUGCAAGUCGAGCGGACUUGAUGAGGAGCUUGCUUUUCUGAGAGUUAGCGGCGGACGGGUGAGUAACACGUAGGCAACCUGCCCUCAAGACUGGGAUAACUACCGGAAACGGUAGCUAAUACCGGAUAAUUAAAUCUGCUGCAUGGCGGAGUUAUGAAAGGCGGAGCAAUCUGUCACUUGAGGAUGGGCCUGCGGCGCAUUAGCUAGUUGGUGAGGUAACGGCUCACCAAGGCGACGAUGCGUAGCCGACCUGAGAGGGUGAACGGCCACACUGGGACUGAGACACGGCCCAGACUCCUACGGGAGGCAGCAGUAGGGAAUCUUCCGCAAUGGGCGAAAGCCUGACGGAGCAACGCCGCGUGAGUGAUGAAGGUUUUCGGAUCGUAAAGCUCUGUUGCCAGGGAAGAACGUCUCAUAGAGUAACUGCUAUGAGAGUGACGGUACCUGAGAAGAAAGCCCCGGCUAACUACGUGCCAGCAGCC
RNAcentral lists this ribosomal RNA (509 nucleotides) under Paenibacillus lactis. Its description in RNAcentral is "bacterial SSU rRNA". It matches the Rfam family "Bacterial small subunit ribosomal RNA", at positions 28 to 516 of the family's 1533-position model. The record is from RNAcentral. Lineage: Bacteria; Bacillati; Bacillota; Bacilli; Caryophanales; Paenibacillaceae.